GAGCGCGUAGCUCAGUCGGUAGAGCAUCUGACUUUUAAUCAGGGGGUCCUGGGUUCGAGUCCCAGCGCGCUCA
RNAcentral lists this transfer RNA (73 nucleotides) under Methylocystis parvus. It matches the Rfam family "tRNA". From Rfam's summary of the family: Transfer RNA (tRNA) molecules are approximately 80 nucleotides in length. Their secondary structure includes four short double-helical elements and three loops (D, anti-codon, and T loops). Lineage: Bacteria; Pseudomonadati; Pseudomonadota; Alphaproteobacteria; Hyphomicrobiales; Methylocystaceae. The record is from Rfam by way of RNAcentral. RNAcentral also lists the same sequence under 2 other names.